CCUACGGGAGGCAGCAGUGAGGAAUAUUGGUCAAUGGCCGGAAGGCUGAACCAGCCAAGCCGCGUGAAGGACGAAGGUUCCAAGCAUUGUAAACUUCUUUUGUCAAGGGACAAAAUCAGGCUCGAGAGCCUGACCGAGGGUACUUGAAGAAAAAGCAUCGGCUAACUCCGUGCCAGCAGCCGCGGUAAUACGGAGGAUGCGAGCGUUAUCCGGAUUUAUUGGGUUUAAAGGGUGCGUAGGCGGACUGUUAAGUCAGCGGUAAAAGCCCGGGGCUCAACCCCGGCGAGCCGUUGAAACUGGCUGUCGUGAGAGGGCGAGAGGUAUGCGGAAUGCGCAGUGUAGCGGUGAAAUGCUUAGAUAGUGCGCAGAACUCCGAUUGCGAAGGCAGCAUACCGGCGGAGAUCUGACGCUGAGGCACGAAAGCGUGGGUAUCGAACAGGAUUAGAUACCCUAGUAGUC
Molecule: ribosomal RNA, 459 nt
Filed under: uncultured bacterium
Lineage: Bacteria
Description: partial 16S ribosomal RNA
Rfam family: Bacterial small subunit ribosomal RNA
Source: RNAcentral